Molecule: RNA transcript, 813 nt
Organism: Cryptomeria japonica (Japanese cedar)
Lineage: Eukaryota; Viridiplantae; Streptophyta; Pinopsida; Cupressales; Cupressaceae
Gene name: WUSCHEL-related homeobox 6-like
Exons: 4
Source: RefSeq, a predicted model, not a curated record
CUUGUUUGAGUGGUCUAGAAGGUGCAAUCUUGUGAGCUAAGAUCUUUGAUCUAUUUAAUUUGAUCUAUUUAAUUUGUUCCAUAGAUCCAUUUUCUUCAAUCUCUCCUCCUCUUUGGCAAUCCCUUCACUUGUUUGAGAGGUCUAGAAGUGCAAUCUUGUGAGCUAAGAUCAGAGAGCAAGUUCAGAAAUUUUGUAUUGCAGGUUUGCGAUAGUAAAAAAAGAUUUAAAUGGAUCAAGGCAAGUCUAUGGUGGAGAGCACAAGAAAUGGACACCUGCCCAAAAGAUGGAAGCCAAAUUUAGAACAAAGGCGGAUAUUAGAGUCCAUAUUUGCUACUGUAACCAAAAACACAAGAAGGGAACGGAUAGCUCAGAUUACUGCUGUGCUACAACAAUAUGGCAGAGUGGAACAAAGAAAUGUUUUCUAUUGGUUUCAAAAUGCAAAUAAUCGAAACAAGCUUUGUACUUCCAAACGUACUCCAAUCUAUGGUACUACUAAAUCAUCUGUAUUCGGACCAAAGGAAGCUAACGAAAUAUUUUUAAAGGUAAGGAUUAUAACGAAAUAUUUUUAAAGGAAGAAGAAGAGAGUGGACGGUUUCAGAGGAAUUCACCAACAGAUGUUUCCGAAUUAGCAACUUUGCAAUUAUUUCCUUUACAUCCUGAUAAAGGAGGAAGUUCUUAACAGCCGAAGAAACUUUAUGAGAUUUUUGGCAACUGGUUAUUGGGUUUUUAAGAGUGGAGAAAAUGUAUUUGUAUCUGCAACAUUAGCUUUUGUGAAUGUCUAACACUGGCUAAUCUUUAUUGACAGUUGAUUAA